This is an RNA transcript of Callorhinus ursinus (northern fur seal), 2189 nucleotides long. It is a transcript of the gene named glutaryl-CoA dehydrogenase, with no coding region annotated. NCBI's taxonomy places the organism in Eukaryota, Metazoa, Chordata, Mammalia, Carnivora, Otariidae. The record is from RefSeq and is a predicted model, not a curated record.
UCUUACUGUGGCCUGUACCGUGAGCCGGGAAGCGCUAGUUAAGCACCCGCGAGAGGGGCGAGAGGGGCGAGAGGGGCGAGAGGGCCGAGAGGGGCGAGAGGGGCGAGAGGGCCGAGAGGCGCCAGGGCCCAGGCCCGCCGGUGGGAGCCAUUCCGCUCUGACGCCCCUCCUCCUCCAGGUUGGCCGUGGUUGCUCCGCUUGCCCGCCCGCUGCCCAGAUGGCCCUGAGAAAGGUCUCGGAGCGGCUGUUGAGCCGUGGACCAGGCCUGAGCUUCCUGCGCGGGUGGGGCUCGGCGGCGGCGCAAACUGAAAAGGGCGGGAAGACACAGAAAGGAGCGACUAAGUCCUCGCGUCCUGAAUUUGACUGGAGAGACCCGCUGGUGCUGGAGGGGCAGCUGACAGCGGAUGAGAUCCUCAUCAGGGACACCUUCCGCACCUAUUGCCAGGAGCGCCUCAUGCCCCGAAUCCUGCUGGCCAAUCGCAACGAAGUUUUUCACCGGGAGAUCAUCUCAGAAAUGGGGGAGCUUGGUGUGCUGGGCCCCACCGUCAAAGGGUAUGGCUGUGCUGGAGUCUCGUCUGUGGCCUAUGGGCUCCUAGCCCGAGAGCUGGAGCGGGUGGAUAGUGGCUACAGGUCAGCAAUGAGUGUCCAGUCUUCCCUUGUCAUGCACCCCAUCUACGCCUAUGGCAGCAAGGAGCAGCAGCAGAAGUACCUGCCCCGGCUGGCCAAGGGGGAGCUCCUGGGCUGCUUUGGGCUCACAGAGCCCAACCAUGGGAGUGACCCUGGCAGCAUGGAGACCAGAGCCCGCCACAACCCAUCCAACAGGAGCUACACCCUCAAUGGGACCAAGACCUGGAUCACCAAUUCACCUGUGGCUGACCUGUUUGUCGUAUGGGCUCGGUGUGAAGACAGCUGCAUUCGGGGCUUCCUGCUGGAGAAGGGGAUGCGGGGCCUCUCAGCCCCCAAGAUUGAGGGCAAGUUCUCCCUGCGGGCCUCGUCCACAGGCAUGAUCGUCAUGGACAAUGUGGAGGUGCCGGAGGAGAAUGUGCUGCCUGAUGUAUCUGGUCUGGCGGGGCCCUUCGGCUGCCUGAACAAUGCCCGGUUUGGCAUUGCCUGGGGCGUGCUCGGAGCUGCUGAAUUCUGUUUGCACACGGCCCGGCAGUACACCCUGGAUAGGAUCCAGUUUGGCGCCCCACUGGCCAGGAACCAGCUGAUUCAGAAGAAGCUGGCAGAUAUGCUCACUGAGAUCGCGCUGGGCCUUCACGCUUGCCUGCAGCUUGGACGCUUGAAGGAUCAAGACAAGGCCACUCCGGAAAUGGUCUCCCUGCUGAAGAGGAAUAACUGUGGGAAGGCCCUGGAUAUCGCCCGCCAGGCCCGAGACAUACUAGGGGGGAAUGGGAUUUCUGAUGAGUAUCACGUGAUCCGGCAUGCCAUGAACCUGGAGGCUGUGAACACCUAUGAAGGCACUCAUGACAUUCAUGCUCUGAUCCUUGGAAGGGCAAUCACAGGGAUCCAGGCGUUCACGGCCAGCAAGUGAACAUACUUCACCCAGGAGCCCAGAUGGUCUCCAGCUCCUUCCCAGGGAAACGCUGUGCUCUGAGCUUACUCAGGGAGGUGGCAGAUGGAGCCAAUUUUUAUAGUGGGAAGUGAGAGACACUGAUUCUUAAUUAUCAAAAUUUUCCCUUUGAAGUCAUUCAAAUGUGUUCCUUAAAAAGAUGGGACUCUCUGUACCAAGUUUCUCAACCCACUUUUAACCGUGGACGGGGAUGGAUUCCACUUAUCUUGGAACAGAAGCUUCUCUUGACAGGGGAGCAGGAAGACGGAAGGAGAGUGACAUGGAAGCAACCUCUGGUGUCUGACUGAGCAAAUCCCCCACACACCAAGAGUUCACUGUGUGCCCUCUGACCCUCCCAUCUUGAGGGUGGCACCCACAUGCAUGUGUUUAGUCAUACCUCAGGCUGGAUGCACAGGUCUUUGUACACGGUCUCCACGGUGUGGCACACUUGUUUGAGCUCUGUUUCCAAAUUGCUGAUCUUUGUCAUUUUCUGGGUGAACUCUUGGAGCUUGUCCUGAAUGAUCUUGUUAUGGUGAUUAUAAAUCUGAUACAUCCUCUCCUCUAGCUUUUCUGUCAGGUCUGAAACCUUUUAAAAAAUAAAGCAUGCUUUUAGAAAAUCAAACAAGAGGCAUCACAA